RNAcentral lists this ribosomal RNA (475 nucleotides) under uncultured Rhodoferax sp. RNAcentral describes it as "bacterial SSU rRNA". It matches the Rfam family "Bacterial small subunit ribosomal RNA", at positions 906 to 1382 of the family's 1533-position model. The record is from RNAcentral. Lineage: Bacteria; Pseudomonadati; Pseudomonadota; Betaproteobacteria; Burkholderiales; Comamonadaceae.
GGAAUUGACGGGGACCCGCACAAGCGGUGGAUGAUGUGGUUUAAUUCGAUGCAACGCGAAAACCUUACCCACCUUUGACAUGUACGGAAUCCUUUAGAGAUAGAGGAGUGCUCGAAAGAGAGCCGUAACACAGGUGCUGCAUGGCUGUCGUCAGCUCGUGUCGUGAGAUGUUGGGUUAAGUCCCGCAACGAGCGCAACCCUUGUCAUUAGUUGCUACAUUUGGUUGGGCACUCUAAUGAGACUGCCGGUGACAAGCCGGAGGAAGGUGGGGAUGACGUCAAGUCCUCAUGGCCCUUAUAGGUGGGGCUACACACGUCAUACAAUGGCUGGUACAAAGGGUUGCCAACCCGCGAGGGGGAGCUAAUCCCACAAAGCCAGUCGUAGUCCGGAUCGUAGUCUGCAACUCGACUACGUGAAGUCGGAAUCGCUAGUAAUCGUGGAUCAGAAUGUCACGGUGAAUACGUUCCCGGGUCUU